Danio rerio (zebrafish) is the source of this 991-nucleotide non-coding RNA. Lineage: Eukaryota; Metazoa; Chordata; Actinopteri; Cypriniformes; Danionidae. The record is from RefSeq and is a predicted model, not a curated record.
UUAGCAUUGCUCUCUGAUUAGGAAGGCUAAGCAGUCUCGAGAGCUGGGAGCGAGAAAAGCGCCGAGUCCUAUUUGUUGUUGUUGUUUUGGGGGGCAGAAGUUGUUAAUAUGGGAGGUAUGGUAGCUACACAAUCUAUUUUCUAGCAGUUAGCAGCUCGGCUAUAGUGGCAGAUUGACGGGGAGAAAGAGUGAAAGACACUUCAAAAGGGAAGGAGGAUCCCAGUCUGGUAAAUGAGAAGGCAACCCGUCUGGUUUCGGGGUGUGUGGCUCGCUGAUAUCACAGGUGUAGUUUCAGAGAGUGAGACACUUUGUUGAGGGGAGACAAAGAAAAUGUGGGAGCGAGGAGUCGGGCCAAAUAAAGCUUGUGUUCGGCGCAGGCAGAGAUUUUAGAUAUUGUUUAUUAUGGCAAUACUGCCACCUAUAGGCUUACUAUGACAACAUCUAGAGAAGGGAUGGGAAAAAGGGUCCUGAGUCGUCAUAUUUGUUGACCCAGGAAUAAUAUUUUAGUUAUCCAAUCAGAUUUGAGGAACAUGUUUAAACUUUAUAGUUUAUGUCGACUUCAGAGGGGAUAUUACAUCAAUGUUGUUGGCCAUUCUCAAAAGUAAAGGUACAGCAGCUGUCAUUGGUGUGGUACCUAUAGGAGAAGGGUAAUCCUGCACAACUGGAGUGGCUGCACUCUCAGGACCGCAUUUUUAGGACCGCAUCUUUAGGACCCUAGUUUUUUGUGACAGCGUUACCUGUCGGAUUGGAUCAUGGAUGCGCUAAUGGACGACACGGAUGACAAGGAAAGUGCCAUCGUACAUCCUCUGGGUGUCUUGAGGAGCUGGUCUUUGGAUGAUGCUGAGCAGGUCUUUCUUUCUGGUAAAGAUUAUCAUUACAGGAGCUAAAGUCUACAGCCAGUCUGAAUGCAGCAACUGAAUAAACAGUGGAGUCAUUUUUGUGGUUGAAUUGCAUUAAUAAAAAUAAAAGUGUGGAUAUUUAUAUAAAUGUA